CCUACGGGUGGCAGCAGUGAGGAAUAUUGGUCAAUGGGCGCGAGCCUGAACCAGCCAAGUAGCGUGAAGGAUGACUGCCCUACGGGUUGUAAACUUCUUUUAUAAAGGAAUAAAGUGAGGCACGUGUGCCUUUUUGUAUGUACUUUAUGAAUAAGGAUCGGCUAACUCCGUGCCAGCAGCCGCGGUAAUACGGAGGAUCCGAGCGUUAUCCGGAUUUAUUGGGUUUAAAGGGUGCGUAGGCGGAGUGUCAAGUCAGCGGUAAAAUUUCGGGGCUCAACCCCGUCGUGCCGUUGAAACUGACGCCCUUGAGUGAGUGAGAAGUAAGCGGAAUGCGUGGUGUAGCGGUGAAAUGCAUAGAUAUCGCGCAGAACUCCGAUUGCGAAGGCAGCAUGCCGGCUCCACACUGACGCUGAGGCACGAAAGCGUGGGUAUCGAACAGGAUUAGAUACCCCUGUAGUC
Molecule: ribosomal RNA, 459 nt
Filed under: uncultured bacterium
Lineage: Bacteria
Description: partial 16S ribosomal RNA
Rfam family: Bacterial small subunit ribosomal RNA
Source: RNAcentral